UACGGAGGAUUCGAGCGUUAUCCGGAUUUAUUGGGUUUAAAGGGUGCGUAGGCGGUUAGGUAAGUUAGAGGUGAAAGGUCAGGGCUUAACCCUGGGACUGCCUCUGAUACUGUCUGACUGGAGAAUAGAUGCAGCAGGCGGAAUGAGUAGUGUAGCGGUGAAAUGCUUAGAUAUUACUCAGAACACCGAUUGCGAAGGCAGCUUGCUAAUCUAUGUCUGACGCUGAUGCACGAAAGCGUGGGUAGCGAACA
Molecule: ribosomal RNA, 251 nt
Filed under: uncultured bacterium
Lineage: Bacteria
Description: partial 16S ribosomal RNA
Rfam family: Bacterial small subunit ribosomal RNA
Source: RNAcentral